Molecule: ribosomal RNA, 391 nt
Filed under: uncultured bacterium
Lineage: Bacteria
Description: partial 16S ribosomal RNA
Rfam family: Bacterial small subunit ribosomal RNA (bases 300-391)
Source: RNAcentral
CCACUUACCCUUCCCCCGUGGUUGGCCGUUCCGUUGCCCCCUACCCCGAACGACUUAGGGGGGGUACGGGGACAGGGGAAAGGGUAACCUUUCCGGUGGGUUAGUACGGCGGUAAGAAAUCGGCGUAAGAGAUCGAGGAACACAGUCGGUGAGAGGCNCUCUGCGCGACAUACNGACNCNCGGAGGAACGAAUCGGAGGGNGACAGUGGUAUAGACCACCAGUCUCACGACCGAANGUGAUAGUGGUUGUUGUCUGUAUCCGGACCGAUAGCGCGNGACACGUAGUUAAUCNCCCNCGGUGGGAGCACNCANAGUGANAACUAGAAAGUAUGGACGGGGCCCGCACAAGCGGUGGAGUAUGUGGUUUAAUUCGAUGCAACGCGAAGAACCU